ACGUAGGAGGCGAGCGUUAUCCGGAUUCACUGGGCGUAAAGCGCGUGCAGGCGGUUCGGUAAGUUGGGCGUGAAAUCUCCUGGCUUAACUAGGAGAGGUCGUCCAAUACUACCGGGCUUGAGAGUGGUAGAGGAAGAUGGAAUUCCAGGUGUAGUGGUGAAAUGCGUAGAUAUCUGGAGGAACACCAGUGGCGAAAGCGAUCUUCUGGACCAUUUCUGACGCUCAGACGCGAAAGCUAGGGUAGUAAACGG
RNAcentral lists this ribosomal RNA (251 nucleotides) under uncultured prokaryote. RNAcentral's name for it is "partial 16S ribosomal RNA". It matches the Rfam family "Bacterial small subunit ribosomal RNA", at positions 525 to 775 of the family's 1533-position model. The record is from RNAcentral.